AACGAACGCUGGCGGCAGGCCUAACACAUGCAAGUCGAACGGUAACAGGUCUUCGGAUGCUGACGAGUGGCGAACGGGUGAGUAAUACAUCGGAACGUGCCUAGUAGUGGGGGAUAACUACUCGAAAGAGUGGCUAAUACCGCAUGAGAUCUACGGAUGAAAGCAGGGGAUCGCAAGGCCUUGUGCUACUAGAGCGGCCGAUGGCAGAUUAGGUAGUUGGUGGGAUAAAAGCUUACCAGGCCGACGAUCUGUAGCUGGUCGGAGAGGACGAUCGGCCACACUGGGACUGCGACACGGCCCAGACUCCUGCGGGAGGCAGAAGUGGGGAAUUUUGGACAAUGGGCGCAAGCCUGGUUCAGCAAUGCCGCGUUCAGGAUGAAGGCCUUCGGGUUGUAAACUGCUUUUGUACGGAACGAAAAGCCCUGGGUUAAUACCCUGGGGUCAUGACGGUACCGUAAGAAUAAGCACCGGCUAACUACGUGCCAGCAGCCGCAGUAA
RNAcentral lists this ribosomal RNA (498 nucleotides) under uncultured bacterium. Its description in RNAcentral is "partial 16S ribosomal RNA". It matches the Rfam family "Bacterial small subunit ribosomal RNA", at positions 29 to 523 of the family's 1533-position model. The record is from RNAcentral.